GAGUCCCAGGUAGAGUUUUGCCCUUGAGCAGCUUCAUGAGGUCAAGGAGGGGCGCUCACUCCACUCUGCACGGAAACACUGAGUGGAAUGAAAAUACAACCGGAGAGAAUGUCCUCCCCACCAGAAGGUCGCCUCGAGACAGGCCUCCACGCAUCGUUGCUGACCUCACACAGUGAUACCUCUGCAUGCCGGGGAGCAAUUCCAUCCAAAAAACAAAAGAGAGCAAGAGAGAAGACAGUGGGUGAAGUCCUGGUUCCAGACUCCCCUUUUUGCCGGGAUAUGAUGGAUCUGUCAGCUGGUGCCUAGAGUCCUAGAGAGCUAGAGAUGGAGGGAAAUUCAGAUCAUCUAAACCCUUCAGCCCUUCACUGGACAGAAGAGGAAACUGAGGCUCCAUCUGCAUGACGUUCCCAGAGUCACGGCACAAAUUCAUGGAAGAAGCAGCAGGAAACUCAGUUCUCCAGUCUGGGUCCAAUGUGUGUUUUAGAAAUAUCUCCACAGGGUUAAUGACUCAAUUUUUCAUGCAUGAUUGCUAGUAAUGACAAUCAUGUUAUGUUUGUUUCUGUAGCUUUGGAAAUCACUCCUUCCACUUGAGUUUCAGGUCCCAACUGUCCACACCUGCAGGAGUGAGGUUUUGCUGAGACUGAUAAGGCACUCACAUUUUGUGGGAGUUGAAUUGUCUCUGUAGCCUAGAAUCUAGAUUUUUUUCCCUCCUCUGCUCUCAGUGAACGGAGAAUUCCAUCUCGGUACAAUCUGUGAACCAUUCUGCAGUAAGAUUGUCAUCGUCUCAUUCAUACUACCUGGUCGGUAACACAAAGGGCUGUAAUUGAUGUGGUUCAGAGACUCACAUCCAAGCAAUAAAAAUGAAUCCCUUAUGGUGGUCUGCAGCAACGCA
RNAcentral lists this long non-coding RNA (892 nucleotides) under Homo sapiens (human). RNAcentral describes it as "lncRNA associated with SART3 regulation of splicing". The record is from RNAcentral. Lineage: Eukaryota; Metazoa; Chordata; Mammalia; Primates; Hominidae.